This is a long non-coding RNA of Bacillus rossius redtenbacheri, 3361 nucleotides long. RefSeq lists it as uncharacterized. The record is from RefSeq and is a predicted model, not a curated record. Lineage: Eukaryota; Metazoa; Arthropoda; Insecta; Phasmatodea; Bacillidae. The transcript has 5 exons.
AGUCUGUGUGCCACUAAAGAAAAUAAUGGCGGAAAAUGUAUACAUAUGUUAUUGUGUAAACGAAUGUAACAUUAUCAUUCUUUAUUAUUGCAAUUUUUUAACACUCGAACAACUUAAAUAGAAAAAUAAAUGCGCACGUGAGGAACAGCGCUCCAUCUACAAGCAUCCCUGACAACAUCUGCGAUGACAGCCCAUAAAAUGACACCUGGAGCGGGUUUCUCGAUGCGGCCUUACUCGGGAGCAACUGGAAGCCGGGACAAGUGUGGCUGUGGAAGGCACCAUCCGGCUGGCGACCUGCGGUCUGCAGAGACGCUCUGGCUCUGAGGACUGUGUUCCUAUCAGCAAGUAGCCUCUUUAAGGUUUCCCAAUGAAGCUGGUGGAUUUGUUGCACAGAGAGAUGUGGGACCACCAUCAUUGGUUCCAGCACAGCCGGCAGCCACUCGUCAGCUCAACCACCUGCCAAGAGUGCCAAUCUGCAGGAGUGAGCACUACUCCCUUCCAGUGACCACGGGCCGCUGUUCCGGACAGCACAUCAGCCACCAGGACUCAUUGACGAGGCAGUGACGUGUGUCGGCCAGCUGCAUCGGCUCAAGGCGACGAGUGCUCCAGUGGCAUCUGCUGCUGUAGCUAUUGGUCCGACCACUGCUCCAGCGACGUCUGAUUCGAAGAUGACUGCUUCAGUGAUGUCUGGUGCUGGUGCUGUAGCUGCUCCGACAACUGCUCCAGCGACGUCUGAUUCGAAGAUUACUGCUCCAGUGACAUCUGGUGCUGUAGCUAUUGCUCCGAUGACAACUGCUCCAGCGACGUCUGCUUCUAAGAUGAUUGCUCCAGUGACAUCUGGUGCUCUAGCUAUUUCUCCGACGACAACUGCUACAGCGACAUCAGCUUUGAAGAUGACUGCUCUAGUGAUGUCUGGUGCUGUAGCUAUUGCUCCGACGACAACUGCUACAGCGACAUCAGCUUCGAAGAUGACUGCUCCAGUGAUGUCUGCUGCUGUAGCUAUUGCUCCAACAAAUGCUCCAGCGAUGGCUACUUCGGCAAUAUAUGCUCCAGUGACGGUUACUCAAGUUAUGACUGCUGUGACAAGUGUUCCGACUACUGUACUUUCAGCAUCUGCUGCGAGUAUUUUAGUUGAUUUUGAUAUUGGAAAUUAUCGUGACACAGAAUUUACAGUUUUUAAACGAUUUUAUUAAAGAAAAAUUAUUAAAAGAGCCCUGGACACCACCCAAUAAUUACCAGUUCCAUACUUCACCGACCCGAAAUUUGAGUUUUCAGCACAAAUGGCUAGAAAGAUUUACGUGGCUGACGUAUUCAGAAGCUAAACAGGGAGCAUUCUGCCGAACAUGUGUGGUGAUGGGUCGUAGUGCUGGAGGUGAAGGCAAAGGACAACAUCAACAGUUGGGUAAACUUGUUAAUCAACCUUUCUGCAACUGGAAGAAAGCAAUCGAAACAUUCAAAGCCCAUUCUCAAACUGGCUACCACAAACAAUAUAGCCAAAUGGCUGACAAUUUCUUAAAAGUAAUGUCUGAAAAAUCUGUCAAUAUAAUAGAAAUGUUGUCAUCCGAAAAUAAGAAGCAGAAGCAUGAAAACUGGAUGAAACUGAAGUCAAUUGUAGGUGCCAUUAUUUUUUGUGGAAAACAAGUAAUUGCAUUACGAGGAAAACAAGACUCUGGACGUGUGAAAAAUUUGGAAAUUAACUGUUCUGAUGAUGAUAAUCUUAAGAAUGAAGGAAAAUUUUGUGCUCUUUUGAGAUACGCUGUUGAGUCAGGGAAUGAAUUUUUAAAGAGUCAUUUAAUUAAUGCCCCACAAAAUGCUUUAUAUUCAAGCCCAAAAUUCAAAACCAGUUAAUAGAAAUCUGUGGCGACAUCAUCAAACAAAAAAUUUUAAAAAUGUAAAGAAAGGCCAUUUUUGUGCUGUUUUGGCUGAUGAAACCACAGACAUUGCCCACGUGGAGCAAGUGUCUUUUUGUCUUCGCUACCCGAAUGUCAAUCAUUUAAACAAGCAUGAAGUCAGAGAAGCACUUUUGGAGUUUAUUCCGACUACUGACAUGGCAGGGAGAGGUUUGGCUAACCUUAUUGUAAGUGGUUUAAAGAAGAACGGAAUAGAUUGCCGCUAUGUAGUUGGCCAGGGAUACGACGGGGCAGCGGCAAUUAGCGGUCUGUUUCAUGGUGCUCAAGUGUAUGUACGGGAAGAAUGCCCUUUAGCUCUCUAUGUGCACUGCAGUUCACACUCACUGAAUCUAGCAAUAUCAGAUUCUUGCUCUCUAUCUGUCAUCCGCAAUUGUGUUGGUGUAGUGCAGUCUAUUGGUAGCUUCUUUCACACAUCAGCUCAACAUACAGACAUCUUGAAAAGACAAAUAAGAGAACUUCUUCCAACUGACCACCAAAAAACAGUUCUGGCUAUGUGUGAAACUAGGUGGGUCCACAAACAUGAUGCAGUAAUUCGUUUCAAAGAAAUUUACGAUGCUAUUGUCUCAGCAUUGGAAGAGUUGCAAGAAAGCCACAACAAUGAUACAGCGCAGAAGGCAUGUCAAAUUUUGAGUACGUUGCGAUCGACCAACUUCGUUAUAGCAUUGUUUAUAUUGGAGAAAAUCAUGAGCUAUACUAUAACCCUUUGUAAAACAACUUCAGGCAGUCGACUGUGACUUGAUAAAAGCGUUUAAUUACUUUGAUGUAAUAUUAGCUACCUUGAAACAUAUUAGAAAUAAUGCCGACGAUGAGUUCCAAACUAUUUUCGAAGCAGCUUCUAAUGCUUUGUUACAAAAUGGAGGAAUCAUACAAUUGCCUCGCAUAGCAAGAAUACAAGUGAAUCGUAUGAAUGCUCCAGCCUGCGAUGUUCAAAUCCACUACAAAAUCAACUCUUUUAUCCCAUUUGUAGAUCAUGUAAUAAGCCAUCUGAGUGAUGGGUUUUCCAAACAUUGGAAAACCAUGACUGCAUUAUGCAGCAUUUUGCCCCAAAGCUGCGUAACUUGUACUAACACAGAUAUUGACGAGUGCAUUGCUAUGUAUGCAGCAGUUCUGCCAGAAACAAAUGCUGCAAUUGUCAAAGCUGAGUUUGAAAUGUGGCAAGAAGCAUGCCGCUCUGACAACAGCACUAAGAGUGCUGUGGAAGCACUGGACCAAUGUGUACCCUAACAUCCACUGCCUCCUAAAUGUCUUGGCGACCCUUCCCGUCUCAACGGAAACUCUAUCUGCGGAACACCAUAUCUCAGGACAGACUGAAUGGAUUGGCCUUACUGAAUGUCCACUACAACAUCCACAUCGACCCGGAGAAUGUGGUUACUGAAUUUGCCAAAAAAAAUAAUACUUCUGUAAAAAGUUUGUAAGCUUAAAAAAGAUAAACAAUUAUUUUUUGGUGUUUA